Melitaea cinxia (Glanville fritillary) is the source of this 485-nucleotide long non-coding RNA. RefSeq lists it as uncharacterized. The transcript is spliced from 3 exons. The record is from RefSeq and is a predicted model, not a curated record. Lineage: Eukaryota; Metazoa; Arthropoda; Insecta; Lepidoptera; Nymphalidae.
CCGUUUUAUUGAGAUUUACUGUAAACAUAUAUAGGGGUAGUUCACCCCCUUAACUUCAUUUGCGGUAAAAACGCAAAAACCCGUAUCUACUACUUUUUUGCCCUCUUCAAAAUGCAAUUGAAACCAUCGAGAUAGGUGCUAUAGUUUUUUUGUUAUAACGAUUUUGUGAAUUUCAACCCCUAUAACUUUUUUCCUGUGCAACCCCCCGAUAUGAAACCAGUUGCAUUUUCCAUCGUUUAUCAUUAAGUUGAUGAUCCAUUUGGGUGCAUUCGCUUAUCUCGAGUGAAAAUAGGCGAAACCUGAAAACUACCCUCGGAGGUCUCAACUUUAGGGGAUAUUUUCACCCCUUAGAAACGUUUUUCCGCCGAUAAAAAAAAAUACGUGUCUCUUAGAUUUUGAUGUAGAAUAACAUAUUUCAAUUUAAUUGAAAUCGAAGGGGGUCAGCGGAAAGACCUUCCUUGUAAAUAGGAAUUCGACUGAAUGCA